Saccostrea cuccullata (small rock oyster) is the source of this 429-nucleotide long non-coding RNA. RefSeq lists it as uncharacterized. The transcript is spliced from 3 exons. The record is from RefSeq and is a predicted model, not a curated record. NCBI's taxonomy places the organism in Eukaryota, Metazoa, Mollusca, Bivalvia, Ostreida, Ostreidae.
ACGAUAUAAUAGCUUACAGGAAAAAGAAAAACUUUCAGUGAUGCAUUCAAAUGAACUUAAGUUGAAGGAGGAAGAAAUAAAAACAAUGAAGAAAGAUAUGGAAAAGACGAAGCUGGAAGUUCAAUCUUUAUACGCAAAAAAUAGAGAAUAUGAAAAGAAUUUUAAAAACACCAACCAAGACUCUGAAAUCCUACGCUUGAAAUAUCAAGUAGAUGAUAUGAAAGAAGAAAUUCACGCCUUGAAAAAGCAAGCAGACAAUUUGAGAUUAGAAAAAAUCCAAAUUUAGAGAAAAUUUGAAUUUGACCUAAAGAGAGAAGAUUCCAGAACAGCAUCUGAAAUAAACCGACUGAGGCAAGUAAUUUUGCAGCUAGAAAAUCGGAAAUAUGGAACUCAUAUAGCGUCCUUAUCAUGGAAAAAAGGAGCUGCAUU